This 253-nucleotide ribosomal RNA is filed under the name uncultured bacterium. RNAcentral's name for it is "partial 16S ribosomal RNA". It matches the Rfam family "Bacterial small subunit ribosomal RNA", at positions 524 to 776 of the family's 1533-position model. The record is from RNAcentral.
UACGUAGGUGGCAAGCGUUGUCCGGAAUUAUUGGGCGUAAAGCGCGCGCAGGCGGUCCUUUAAGUCUGAUGUGAAAGCCCACGGCUCAACCGUGGAGGGUCAUUGGAAACUGGGGGACUUGAGUGCAGGAGAGAAGAGUGGAAUUCCACGUGUAGCGGUGAAAUGCGUAGAGAUGUGGAGGAACACCAGUGGCGAAGGCGGGUCUCUGGGCCGAUACUGACGCUGAGGAGCGAAAGCGUGGGGAGCAAACAGG